AAAGUCGUAACAAGGUCUCCGUUGGUGAACCAGCGGAGGGAUCAUUACCGAGUUGCAAAACUCCCAACCCAUUGUCUACCCAUCUUUACAGCGUCUGCUCCGGCGGGCGGCCCCAGGGCGGGGCCGUCGCCGACGUUCCGGCGUCGGCGCCCGCCGGAGGAGACACCCCAACUCGUACUGUUUUUAGUAUCUCUGAACCCAAAAGACAAAUAGUCAAAACUUUCAACAACGGAUCUCUUGGUUCUG
Molecule: unclassified non-coding RNA, 246 nt
Filed under: Ascomycota sp.
Lineage: Eukaryota; Fungi; Ascomycota
Description: partial contains small subunit ribosomal RNA, internal transcribed spacer 1, and 5.8S ribosomal RNA
Rfam family: Eukaryotic small subunit ribosomal RNA (bases 1-47)
Source: RNAcentral